RNAcentral lists this ribosomal RNA (416 nucleotides) under uncultured bacterium. RNAcentral describes it as "bacterial SSU rRNA". It matches the Rfam family "Bacterial small subunit ribosomal RNA", at positions 100 to 518 of the family's 1533-position model. The record is from RNAcentral.
CGGAGGUAACACGUAUCCGAACCUGCCGCUUACUCGGGGAUAGCCUUUCGAAAGAAAGAUUAAUACCCGAUGGUAUAAAGAGUUCGCAUGUUCUCUUUAUUAAAGAAUUUCGGUAAGCGAUGGGGAUGCGUUCCAUUAGAUAGUUGGCGGGGUAACGGCCCACCAAGUCUACGAUGGAUAGGGGUUCUGAGAGGAAGGUCCCCCACAUUGGAACUGAGACACGGUCCAAACUCCUACGGGAGGCAGCAGUGAGGAAUAUUGGUCAAUGGACGAGAGUCUGAACCAGCCAAGUAAGCGUGAAGGAUGACUGCCCUAUGGGUUGUAAACUUCUUUUAUAAGGGAAUAAAGUGAGGGACGUGUCCCUUUUUGUAUGUACCUUAUGAAUAAGGAUCGGCUAACUCCGUGCCAGCCGCAGC